AACAAGUUUAGUUUUAAAUUUUAUAUGGAAAUUCAAUAAAAAUACAACCUAUUUAAUUAAUUCGUGAUAACAUGUUUAAACCACUACACCAUGACCAUAGUCUUCUUCACCCUCUUGCGCCUUGAAGUUGAAAUCCUUAUGAGACCCAUCACCGGCGGCGUUUGUGACUCUUGAGACACGCCUGAUUAUAACGGCGCAGUACCUGAAACUCAUCGAAGAAAUGAACCCAACAAUUCGUUACUCGAGAAGGUCGUCACGGCCGACGCAAGUGGAGCAGUGUACAGUGUGUUUAGCAGAGCUUGAAGAAGGUGAGAAAGUGAGGAAAUUGAAAUGCAAGUACAGUUUCCACAAGGACUGCUUGGAUUAAUGGCUUCAACAACAGUAUUGGGUGACUUGUCCACUUUGUAGGACCAAAGUUUUGCCAGAUGAGAUUGUGGCUAAUUAUCACAGGCAGGUGGAUUAUGAUGAGAGUAGUGAUGACGAUAUGAUCUUCUUGUUAUCUGCAUUACACGAACAAAUUGCUUGGAUUGGAAGACGCACAUAUAAUUUUGUAGCGUGGGAACUGCCAAGUCCUUGUUUUGGGUAUGGAAGGUUCUGAUUUUGUGUUAUUAGUGUAUUGAGAGGCCACAAAUUAGGCUCACUUUCCAUAUGGCUAUCUGGGGAAGAGUUUAUAGAGGGGAGGGUUGGUGAUGUAAUUUACGGAACAGCUGCAUAGUAGCUAUCAAUGCUUAAAUACUGCCAAGAAGUAGGCAGGCAGUUGCUAUAGCUAUUGAUAAACAGCCUAUAGUUGUUAAUUCACUAUCAAUAUCUUUCUUUUCAAGGACCAGUGGUUGGUCAAGACA
Long non-coding RNA from Gossypium raimondii (Peruvian cotton), 842 nucleotides. RefSeq lists it as uncharacterized. The record is from RefSeq and is a predicted model, not a curated record. The transcript has 2 exons. Lineage: Eukaryota; Viridiplantae; Streptophyta; Magnoliopsida; Malvales; Malvaceae.